RNAcentral lists this transfer RNA (73 nucleotides) under Salmo salar (Atlantic salmon). It matches the Rfam family "tRNA". Rfam says of the family: Transfer RNA (tRNA) molecules are approximately 80 nucleotides in length. Their secondary structure includes four short double-helical elements and three loops (D, anti-codon, and T loops). The record is from Rfam by way of RNAcentral. Lineage: Eukaryota; Metazoa; Chordata; Actinopteri; Salmoniformes; Salmonidae.
UCCCCUGUGGCUGAGUUGGUAUAGCAUGGCACUUGCGAUGCUGGGGUUGUGGGUUCAAUUCCUAUGGGGGGCC